This 567-nucleotide ribosomal RNA is filed under the name uncultured bacterium. RNAcentral's name for it is "bacterial SSU rRNA". It matches the Rfam family "Bacterial small subunit ribosomal RNA", at positions 338 to 916 of the family's 1533-position model. The record is from RNAcentral.
CCUACGGGAGGCAGCAGUGGGGAAUAUUGGGCAAUGGAGGAAACUCUGACCCAGCGACGCCGCGUGCGGGAUGAAGGCCUUCGGGUUGUAAACCGCUUUCAGUAGGGAAGAAGCGAAAGUGACGGUACCUACAAAAGAAGCACCGGCUAACUAUGUGCCAGCAGCCGCGGUAAUACAUAGGGUGCAAGCGUUGUCCGGAAUUAUUGGGCGUAAAGAGCUCGUAGGUCGUUUGUUACGUCGGAUGUGAAAACCUGAGGCUCAACCUCAGGCCUGCAUUCGAUACGGGCAAACUAGAGUUUGGUAGGGGAGACUGGAAUUCCUGGUGUAGCGGUGGAAUGCGCAGAUAUCAGGAGGAACACCAAUGGCGAAGGCAGGUCUCUGGGCCAAUACUGACACUGAGGAGCGAAAGUCUGGGGAGCGAACAGGAUUAGAUACCCUGGUAGUCCAGACCGUAAACGGUGGGCACUAGUUGUGGGAACCUUCCACGGUUUCUGCGACGCAGCUAACGCAUUAAGUGCCCCGCCUGGGGAGUACGAUCGCAAGAUUAAAACUUAAAGGAAUUGACGG